CUUGGUCAUUUGAGGAAGUAAAAGUCGUAACAAGGUCUCCGUUGGUGAACCAGCGGAGGGAUCAUUACCGAGUUAUAC
This 78-nucleotide ribosomal RNA is filed under the name Fusarium sp. E033. Its description in RNAcentral is "partial 18S ribosomal RNA". The stretch from base 1 to 67 matches the Rfam family "Eukaryotic small subunit ribosomal RNA", at positions 1765 to 1831 of the family's 1831-position model. Lineage: Eukaryota; Fungi; Ascomycota; Sordariomycetes; Hypocreales; Nectriaceae. The record is from RNAcentral.